AAAGAAUUAGUUAAAAUAUAACAUUAAAUUGUCAUUUUAAAAUUAUUAUUUAUAAUAAUACUCUUUC
Molecule: transfer RNA, 67 nt
Filed under: Lasioglossum villosulum
Lineage: Eukaryota; Metazoa; Arthropoda; Insecta; Hymenoptera; Halictidae
Description: tRNA-Asp
Source: RNAcentral